RNAcentral lists this ribosomal RNA (460 nucleotides) under uncultured bacterium. RNAcentral's name for it is "partial 16S ribosomal RNA". It matches the Rfam family "Bacterial small subunit ribosomal RNA", at positions 338 to 795 of the family's 1533-position model. The record is from RNAcentral.
CCUACGGGGGGCUGCAGUGAGGAAUAUUGGUCAAUGGGCGAGAGUCUGACCCAGCAAAGUCGCGUGAAGGAUGAAGGUUCUCUGGUUUGUAAACUUUUUUUAUAUGGGAAUAAAGUGAGGAACGUGUUCCUUAUUGUAUGUCCCCUAUGAAUAAGCAUCGGCUAACUCCGUGCCAGCAGCCGCGGUAAUACGGAGGAGGCGAGCGUUAUCCGGAUUUCUUGGGUUUAAGGGGUGCGUAGGUGGUUAAUUAAGUUAGCGGGGAAAGUUUAUGGCUCAACCAUAGAAUUGCCGUUGAAACUGGUGGACUUGAGUGUAGGUGGGGUAAGCGGAAUGCGUGGUGUAGCGGUGAAAUGCAUAGAUAUCACGCAGAACACCGAUUGCGAAGGCAGCUUACUAGACUGUAACUGACACUGAGGCACGAAAGCGUGGGGAGCAAACAGGAUUAGAUACCCUAGUAGUC